CAGGAUAAUCUAGUGUUUGUGGUGGGGAAAUGGAUGGACUGAUGGUGGUGAGUGGAUGGAGACAUAACACAUGUGGUGGCCACAGCACUGGCCGUGGAGCCCAUUAAGUUUGUGUACAGAGGAAGGAAUUCACAAGCUCCAGUCUGGAUCCAGAACACUUAAGAAGAGAUGAUGCCAACCCCACAGAGGACUUCAGAUGAUGCCAACCCUGAAACAACAUACAGCACUACCGAAUUCUGCUACUAAUUUAUAGUGUUCUUUGUCUGUUUGAUUACGUCAUUAAUUGAUCUUUACCACACAUCUCUACCAUAUGUACAUCAAGCUACUAUUACAUAUAUUGUAAAAAUGUCAAUUUGGUGUAAAGUUGCUUUGCAACGAUAUGUAUCAUGAAAAGCGCUAUACAAAUACAUUUGAAUUGAAUUGAAUUGAAAGGACUGUUACUUUCUUGUCAGCUAAGUUCCAUUACCAGUUUUUUGUAUUGUUAUUCCUUACCUGCACUUGCCGUCUUCAUCUUCUGCUACUCAGCCAAAUAAAGCCCGCUAUUAUUACUA
This is a long non-coding RNA of Labeo rohita (rohu), 551 nucleotides long. RefSeq lists it as uncharacterized. Lineage: Eukaryota; Metazoa; Chordata; Actinopteri; Cypriniformes; Cyprinidae. The transcript is spliced from 2 exons. The record is from RefSeq and is a predicted model, not a curated record.